CUGGAGCAAAAUCAACACCCGACAACGAUAUUCGUCCUCGGGUGCAUUAUCG
Molecule: small RNA, 52 nt
Filed under: alpha proteobacterium IMCC14465
Lineage: Bacteria; Pseudomonadati; Pseudomonadota; Alphaproteobacteria
Description: ffh sRNA
Rfam family: ffh sRNA
Source: Rfam by way of RNAcentral